GACGAACGCUGGCGGCGUGCCUAAUACAUGCAAGUAGAACGCUGAAGCGAGGAGCUUGCUCUUCUUGGAUGAGUUGCUAACGGGUGAGUAACUCGUAUGUAACCUGCCUGUUAGCGGUGGAUAACUAUUGGAAACGAUAGCUAAUACCGCAUAAAAUGUUUUAUCGCAUUAUAAUCCAUUUAAUGUUUCAAUUUCAUCACUACCUGAUGGACCUUCGUUGUAUUAGCUAGUUUGUUGGGUAACGGCUCACCAAGGCGACGAUACAUAGCCGACCUGAGAGGGUGAUCGGCCAAACUGGGAAGGAGACACGGCCCAGAGUCCUACGGGAGGCAGCAGUAGGGAAACGGGGGAAAUGGACGGAAGUCUGACCGAGCAAAGACGAGUGAGUGAAGAAGGUAUUCGGAUCGUAAAGCUCGGUUGUAAGAGAAGAAAGAGAGUGAGAGUGGAAAGUUCACAGUGUGACGGUAACUGACAAGAAAGGGACGGCUAACUACGUG
This 497-nucleotide ribosomal RNA is filed under the name uncultured bacterium. Its description in RNAcentral is "partial 16S ribosomal RNA". It matches the Rfam family "Bacterial small subunit ribosomal RNA", at positions 28 to 507 of the family's 1533-position model. The record is from RNAcentral.